Molecule: ribosomal RNA, 505 nt
Filed under: uncultured bacterium
Lineage: Bacteria
Description: bacterial SSU rRNA
Rfam family: Bacterial small subunit ribosomal RNA
Source: RNAcentral
AUUGAACGCUGGCGGCAUGCCUUACACAUGCAAGUCGAACGGCAGCACGGGGGGUAACCCCUGGUGGCGAGUGGCGAACGGGUGAGUAAUACAUCGGAACGUAUCCUGUAGCGGGGGAUAACCUCUCGAAAGAGAGGCUAAUACCGCAUACGACCCAAGGGUGAAAGAGGGGGAUCGCAAGACCUCUCACUAUUGGAGCGGCCGAUGUCGGAUUAGCUAGUUGGUGGGGUAAAAGCCCCACCAAGGCUACGAUCCGUAGCUGGUCUGAGAGGACGACCAGCCACACUGGAACUGAGACACGGUCCAGACUCCUACGGGAGGCAGCAGUGGGGAAUCUUGCGCAAUGGGCGAAAGCCUGACGCAGCGACGCCGCGUGCGGGAGGAAGCUCUUCGGGGGUGUAAACCGCUGGUCGGGGGGGAAGAAGUGCCUGGGGAGGAAAUGCCUUGGGUUUGACGGUACCCCAAAGGAAGCACCGGCUAACUCUGUGCCAGCCGCCGCAGUAAU